This 451-nucleotide ribosomal RNA is filed under the name uncultured Fibrobacter sp. RNAcentral describes it as "partial 16S ribosomal RNA". It matches the Rfam family "Bacterial small subunit ribosomal RNA", at positions 341 to 792 of the family's 1533-position model. The record is from RNAcentral. Lineage: Bacteria; Pseudomonadati; Fibrobacterota; Fibrobacteria; Fibrobacterales; Fibrobacteraceae.
ACGGGAGGCAGCAGUAGGGAAUAUUGCACAAUGGGGGAAACCCUGAUGCAGCAACGCCACGUGUGGGAAGAAGCACUUCGGUGUGUAAACCACUGUCGUGAGGGAAUAAUGCUUGGCCUCGGCCAAGUUGAGUGUACCUCGAAAGGAAGCACCGGCAAACUUCGUGCCAGCAGCCGCGGUAAUACGAGGGGUGCAGGCGUUGUUCGGAAUCACUGGGCGUAAAGGGAGCGCAGGCGGAGAUGCAAGCAGUCUGUACAAUACCGGAGCCCAACCCCGGACCUGCAGACUGGACUGUGUCUCUUGGAUAGUUCAGGGGCAGGCGGAAUUCCUGGUGUAGCGGUGGAAUGCGUAGAGAUCAGGAAGAACACCGAUGGCGAAGGCAGCCUGCUGGGGACUCAUCGACGCUGAGGCUCGAAAGUGCGGGUAGCAAACAGGAUUAGAUACCCUGGUA